CAUUCAGUAGCCUCGCUACUUGUUAUACCCUUGUUUUUUGCGUACUAUUGUUUCCUCGGCGGGCUUGCCUGCCGGUUGGACAAAACUAUAACCUUUUAAUCUUCAAUCAGCGUCUGAAUUAUACAUAAUAAUUAC
RNAcentral lists this unclassified non-coding RNA (135 nucleotides) under soil metagenome. RNAcentral describes it as "partial internal transcribed spacer 1". The record is from RNAcentral.